RNAcentral lists this ribosomal RNA (25 nucleotides) under Amylostereum areolatum. RNAcentral describes it as "partial 18S ribosomal RNA". Lineage: Eukaryota; Fungi; Basidiomycota; Agaricomycetes; Russulales; Stereaceae. The record is from RNAcentral.
CCAUAGAGGGACUGCGGAGACAUUA